UUUCACUGAAACAAGGGGAAAGCUCAAAUGGGGGAUUGGCCCCGGAGGCAGCAGUAAAGAAUUUUGUGCAAUAUAUGAAGGUAAGACACAGAGAGGGCACCUUGCCUAGUCCGUCAAAUUAAGUGCCAGCAGACGCGGUGAAACUUAAGGGCUAGUUUUGUGGGCAAAAGCGUAAAGGGUGUGAUAGGCCGUUUUAAUUAAAAAGGGUUUUAUAAUUUAAGAAGGUAAAUGGAAUUUUUUUGUAGCGGUGGAAUGUGUAAAUAGAAAAAAGAACUUUAGACGUGAAGACUAUUUAUUUUUGAGAUUAUAGUGUGAUGGCUAAAACACGAGAGUAUGGGGAGCAAACAGGAUUAGGGACCCUGGUAGUCUAUACUGUAAAUAAUGAAAAAGAUGUGAAGCAAUCCUAAAAAGUCAGAAAUUUUCCGCUUGAGUAGUACGACCGCAAGGUUAAAAUUCAAAAAACUUGGCUGUUCACUGUUUUAAUUAGAGGAGCGUGUCGUUUAAUUCGAUAGUCCGCGAGAGACCUUACCCAAACUUGAAUCCUUCAUUGACAGGUAUUGCAUGGCCGUCGUCAAUUUGUGUAUUAAACAUAAAACAGAUUUAACCCAGUGGUUUGUCACUUGGAUGAAGUCAGGUCUUAUUGUCCUAAUGUUUGGGGAUUAGAUGCGCUACAUUUUUUUAUACAAUAGGAAACUUUGAGUGUGAAACCUGAAAAUAAGAGUUCGGAAAGUGCCUGGAAGAUAACGGAAAGUUGUAUUUAAUAGUAAUUGAAAAGUAGAGCGUUUCAAUGAAAUUUUUUCAGUGUUAGUACAAAUUGCCCGUCGCCUUUGCUUAGACAGGUUGGUUGAUUGCCCCUCAAGAGGGUUUCUAAUACCUCCGAGGCAGAGUAAGUCGUAACA
RNAcentral lists this ribosomal RNA (899 nucleotides) under Acropora cervicornis. Its description in RNAcentral is "partial 12S small subunit ribosomal RNA". It matches the Rfam family "Bacterial small subunit ribosomal RNA", at positions 314 to 1493 of the family's 1533-position model. The record is from RNAcentral. RNAcentral also lists the same sequence under 1 other name. Lineage: Eukaryota; Metazoa; Cnidaria; Anthozoa; Scleractinia; Acroporidae.